RNAcentral lists this ribosomal RNA (16 nucleotides) under Boletus pinophilus. RNAcentral's name for it is "partial 18S ribosomal RNA". RNAcentral also lists the same sequence under 2 other names. The record is from RNAcentral. Lineage: Eukaryota; Fungi; Basidiomycota; Agaricomycetes; Boletales; Boletaceae.
GUAGGUGAACCUGCGG